GAUCAGAUCCACUUUAGUGUUAUUGAUUGAUUAUUGGCACCAAGCAGCUGAUAUAUGAAGCAAAGAUGAGGAUUGAUUGAUUGAUUUUUGUUUGUACGGUUCAACCUAAACUUCAUUUUCCCCUUCUGUUUAAGGUAAACUUUUUUCAAUUUGGAUUAAAUACAGAUGGAUCUAUUGACAGCUGUUUCUGAUUCGUUGACAAGCUUUCAGCUCGCGUGGAUGUCAAUAAUAGAACCUCUGAUGUUUUUUACUUGUGAACGAGUUCUGAGAAUCUCGGGUGUGUUUGCUCCAGAUCAGUGAGUCCGACUGAUCAAUACCUGUUCAGACGUAUUGAUCGGCGUUCCCCGUGCUGUUGCUGAUGCUGAACAAACAGCUCCUUCUUUCCCGCCAUCACUCCUGUGUUUUGCUGCCCCCUGCUGAUCACGUUCAGCUUUAAUCUCAGCCAUACGUUCUGUUGUUCAUGGAAAGCAGCUGUGAAUAAAGUUUCAGUGGAUUGAAAGAGUUAAUCCGCCAGAUUAGCCGUGUGUUCUUUGUGAACUCCGAUUAGCUCCGUAGUUAAUCCGGCUGCAGUCAACAUGUCGGACAGAAGAACCACGGCGCUGCUCACAGUGCUGCUGUUUUUGUCUGCGUCGGCCUUCGUGGAGGAGCUCGAUGACUCCUUCAUGGAGAGAAAAGGACCUGAA
Long non-coding RNA from Stegastes partitus (bicolor damselfish), 683 nucleotides. RefSeq lists it as uncharacterized. The transcript has 3 exons. The record is from RefSeq and is a predicted model, not a curated record. Lineage: Eukaryota; Metazoa; Chordata; Actinopteri; Pomacentridae.